This is a non-coding RNA of Ictidomys tridecemlineatus (thirteen-lined ground squirrel), 731 nucleotides long. Lineage: Eukaryota; Metazoa; Chordata; Mammalia; Rodentia; Sciuridae. The record is from RefSeq and is a predicted model, not a curated record.
ACAGUGCUUGCUGAGAAGGUGAACACGAUGUCCCUCACAGUGCUGGGACUACGAAUGCUGUUUGCUAAGAGCAUUGCCAUCAAUUUUCUCUUGACUGCCAAGUUAUUUUUCUUCUAAGGCUGACUGGCACGAGGAAGCUGCACUCCCAGGAGGAAACCAAAAGCUUGCGAAGACACUGUCUCCUAGGCUUCAGCCUUAUUUAAACAGCUGCUAAUCAAACCAAUUUCCCGUUAAAGGCAACAACCCCACUUCAUUCUUAGCCUGGUAGAAAACAAAAGUCCUGGGAAUCGGAGUUUAUGGUCCUAACUAUUUUACAUGCUGCUUUAUACAGUGACGGAAAGAUAUAAAAAAUAUAUAGGACCUAUUUUAUUUUACUCCUACACCUGAUACACUUUGAAAAUGAUCUUUCAUUCCAUUUUUACUUUCUUUAAUUCAACAAAUAGAAAGAGGGGAGCAACAGGUCACCAAGUCCAUUCCCCAUGAGGAAAAUAGGCCAGGAGGAGGAAAACUGGUGUCCCUUUACCUACACAGGGAAGGCUCUGCUCAGCCCAGCACUAGAUUUGUCCCAAACCAGCAUCCUUGUGUUCCUCUCCUGUGGUUUACCCCACCCUCUAUAUUCACACUAGAGAUUUGACAUGGCAGUAAGGGGUGGAGGGCCAAUUUCAGCACUUUCUGCUUUUCCUGGUACUUUACAUUUGACUUCCCUAAUACUCUCUAAGCAGGCAAUGAGG